Molecule: ribosomal RNA, 501 nt
Filed under: uncultured bacterium
Lineage: Bacteria
Description: partial 16S ribosomal RNA
Rfam family: Bacterial small subunit ribosomal RNA
Source: RNAcentral
AUUGAACGCUGGCGGCAGGCUUAACACAUGCAAGUCGAGCGGAGCGAGGGUGCUUGCACCUUAGCUUAGCGGCGGACGGGUGAGUAAUGCUUAGGAAUCUGCCUAUUAGUGGGGGACAACAUUCCGAAAGGAAUGCUAAUACCGCAUACGCCCUACGGGGGAAAGCAGGGGAUCUUCGGACCUUGCGCUAAUAGAUGAGCCUAAGUCGGAUUAGCUAGUUGGUGGGGUAAAGGCCUACCAAGGCGACGAUCUGUAGCGGGUCUGAGAGGAUGAUCCGCCACACUGGGACUGAGACACGGCCCAGACUCCUACGGGAGGUAGCAGUGGGGAAUAUUGGACAAUGGGCGGAAGCCUGAUCCAGCCAUGCCGCGUGUGUGAAGAAGGCCUUUUGGUUGUAAAGCACUUUAAGCGAGGAGGAGGCUCUUAAGGUUAAUACCCUUGAUGAGUGGACGUUACUCGCAGAAUAAGCACCGGCUAACUCUGUGCCAGCCGCCGCCGUAA